RNAcentral lists this small RNA (115 nucleotides) under Escherichia coli. RNAcentral describes it as "RtT sRNA". It matches the Rfam family "RtT RNA". From Rfam's summary of the family: This family represents a bacterial cis-regulatory element known as RtT RNA. The exact function of RtT is unknown although it is thought that it may be involved in changing the cellular response in relation to amino acid starvation. The record is from RNAcentral. Lineage: Bacteria; Pseudomonadati; Pseudomonadota; Gammaproteobacteria; Enterobacterales; Enterobacteriaceae.
AUUCUGCCCAAGCGGGGAAGGAUGAGAAGCUUCGACCAAGGCGAGAGAGCGUUGCCGCAGGCAACGACCCGAAGGGCGAAGCGCGCAGCGCUGAGUAAUCCUUCCCCCACCACCA